This 791-nucleotide long non-coding RNA is filed under the name Cricetulus griseus (Chinese hamster). RNAcentral's name for it is "lncRNA (ENSCGRG00015042764.1)". Lineage: Eukaryota; Metazoa; Chordata; Mammalia; Rodentia; Cricetidae. The record is from RNAcentral.
AAUUUAAUGACCUAUGAGACAGACCUGAUUAUGCUCACUAUGAGGUGAGAAACAUUAUAAAGAGAGAAACCUUGUCCAAUAUUUUUCCUCAUAUUCAUCAAAACAUCUGGUGCUGAUACUCAAGUCAAGACUGAGCAGAGGGGAAUGCAGAAGGAAAACAUGUCUCCAAGGCAGCUGAACAAUGGACUGUAAAGAUGAGAGAUGGAGAAGUACAUUCUUAAAAACAAAAGUCAUGAUAUCUACACCAUAAAUCUAAACAUGACCCGGGAGAAGCUGUUGCUUGCAGCUCUGGCUGUUGUAUUGAGAACCCUGCUGAUGUCAGCAUCAUCUCCUCUAGGAACACAGGCUAGCAAGCAGUGCUGAAGUUUGUUGCCACAACUGAAGGAGGCACUGUAAUUGCAGAUGACUUCAAGCCUGGGGCCUUCACUAACUAGAUCCAAGCAGCCCUCAGGGAGCUACAGCAUCUAGUUAUGACUGGUCCCAGAGCUGAUCCCCAGCCCCUCACAGAAGCAUCUUGUGUCAACCUGCCCAUCAUUUCUCUGUGUAACACAGACUGUCCUCUUCGCUGUACAUCGCCAUCCCAUGCAACAAGGGAGCCCACUUGGUGUAUCUGAUGUGGUGGAUGCUGGCCCAGGAAGUACUCCCCAUGCGUGGAACUAUCUCUAGUGAGCACCCUUAGGAGGUUAUGCCUGAUCUUUACUUCUACAGAGACCAGGAGGAGACUGAGAAGAAGGAGCAGGCUGCUUCUGAGAAGGCUGUGAACACGGAAGAAUUUCAAGGCAAAUGGACCA